UACAGAGGGUGCAAGCGUUAAUCGGAAUUACUGGGCGUAAAGCGUGCGUAGACGGUUAUGUAAGUCGGGUGUGAAAGCCCCGGGCUCAACCUGGGAAUUGCAUUCGAGACUGCAUAGCUAGGGUGCGGAAGAGGGAAGCGGAAUUUCCGGUGUAGCGGUGAAAUGCGUAGAUAUCGGAAGGAACACCAGUGGCGAGAGCGGCUUCCUGGUCCAGCACCGACGUUCAGGCACGAAAGCGUGGGGAGCAAACAGG
RNAcentral lists this ribosomal RNA (253 nucleotides) under uncultured bacterium. RNAcentral describes it as "partial 16S ribosomal RNA". It matches the Rfam family "Bacterial small subunit ribosomal RNA", at positions 524 to 776 of the family's 1533-position model. The record is from RNAcentral.